Molecule: ribosomal RNA, 433 nt
Filed under: uncultured bacterium
Lineage: Bacteria
Description: partial 16S ribosomal RNA
Rfam family: Bacterial small subunit ribosomal RNA
Source: RNAcentral
AACGAACGCUGGCGGCAUGCCUAACACAUGCAAGUCGAACGAGACCUUCGGGUAUAGUGGCGCACGGGUGAGUAACGCGUGGGAACCUGCCCUUAGGUUCGGAAUAACUCCCCGAAAGGGGUGCUAAUACCGGAUAAUGUCUUCGGACCAAAGAUUUAUCGCCUUUGGAUGGGCCCGCGUUGGUUUAGCUAGUUGGUAGGGUAAAAGCCUACCAAGGCGACGAUCCAUAGCUGGUCUGAGAGGAUGAUCAGCCACACUGGGACUGGGACACGGCCCAGACUCCUACGGGAGGCAGCAGUGGGGAAUAUUGGACAAUGGGCGAAAGCCUGAUCCAGCAAUGCCGCGUGAGUGAUGAAGGCCUUAGGGUUGUAAAGCUCUUUUACCCGGGAUGAUAAUGACAGUACCGGGAGAAUAAGCUCCGGCUAACUCCGUG